Molecule: ribosomal RNA, 549 nt
Filed under: uncultured cyanobacterium
Lineage: Bacteria; Bacillati; Cyanobacteriota
Description: bacterial SSU rRNA
Rfam family: Bacterial small subunit ribosomal RNA
Source: RNAcentral
GGUAGAGGGAAUUCCCAGUGUAGCGGUGAAAUGCGUAGAGAUUGGGAAGAACACCGGUGGCGAAAGCGCUCUACUGGCUCGCACCUGACCCUCAGGGACGAAAGCUAAGGUAGCGAAAGGGAUUAGAUACCCCUGUAGUCUUAGCCGUAAACGAUGGAUACUAGGCGUGGUUUGUAUCGACCCAAGCCGUGCCGAAGCUAACGCGUUAAGUAUCCCGCUUGGGGAGUACGCACGCAAGUGUGAAACUCAAAGGAAUUGACGGGGGCCCGCACAAGCGGUGGAGGAUGUGGUUUAAUUCGAUGCAACGCGAAGAACCUUACCAGGGCUUGACAUCCCGCGCAUCCCCAUGAAAGUGGGGAGUGCCUUCGGGAACGCGGAGACAGGUGGUGCAUGGCUGUCGUCAGCUCGUGCUCGUGAGAUGUUGGGUUAAGUCCCGCAAGCGAGCGCAACCUUCGUCUUUAGUUGCCAGCAUUAAGUUGGGAACUUUAGGGAGACUGCCGGUGACAAACCGGAGGAAGGUGAGGAUGACGUCAAGUCAGCAUGCCCCUU